CCCUUAGAUGGUCUGGGCGGCACGCGCGCUACAAUGAUGCAUUCAAAAAGUCUUCUGACCUUAGAAGGUUGGGUAUUCUCCAAAGUGCAUCGUGAUGGGAAUAGUUUAUUGCAAUUUUUAAUCUUGAACGGGGAAUUCCUAGUAAGUACAGGUCAUCAACUUGUGUUGAUUACGUCCCUGCCCUUUGUACACACCGCCCGUCGCUCCUACCGAUUGAGUGGUCUGGUGAGGCUUUGGGGUCUGAGCGGAAAGAGCGUUUCGCUGUUUCUGCUCGGAAAACUCAGUCGAACCUUAUCAUUUAGAGGAAGGAGAAGUCGUAACA
Molecule: ribosomal RNA, 322 nt
Filed under: uncultured eukaryote
Lineage: Eukaryota
Description: partial 18S ribosomal RNA
Rfam family: Eukaryotic small subunit ribosomal RNA
Source: RNAcentral